GAUGAACGCUGGCGGCGUGCCUAAUACAUGCAAGUCGAGCGAACAGAUAAGGAGCUUGCUCCUUUGACGUUAGCGGCGGACGGGUGAGUAACACGUGGGUAACCUACUUAUAAGACUGGGAUAACUUCGGGAAACCGGAGCUAAUACCGGAUAAUAUUUCGAACCGCAUGGUUCGAUAGUGAAAGAUGGUUUUGCUAUCACUUAUAGAUGGACCCGCGCCGUAUUAGCUAGUUGGUAAGGUAACGGCUUACCAAGGCGACGAUACGUAGCCGACCUGAGAGGGUGAUCGGCCACACUGGAACUGAGACACGGUCCAGACUCCUACGGGAGGCAGCAGUAGGGAAUCUUCCGCAAUGGGCGAAAGCCUGACGGAGCAACGCCGCGUGAGUGAUGAAGGUCUUCGGAUCGUAAAACUCUGUUAUUAGGGAAGAACAUACGUGUAAGUAACUGUGCACGUCUUGACGGUACCUAAUCAGAAAGCCACGGCUAACUACGUG
Molecule: ribosomal RNA, 497 nt
Filed under: uncultured bacterium
Lineage: Bacteria
Description: partial 16S ribosomal RNA
Rfam family: Bacterial small subunit ribosomal RNA
Source: RNAcentral